Junco hyemalis (dark-eyed junco) is the source of this 1934-nucleotide long non-coding RNA. Lineage: Eukaryota; Metazoa; Chordata; Aves; Passeriformes; Passerellidae. The record is from Ensembl.
CUGCAAGUAAAACCACCACAUUUGAAAGAAUGCAAAAAGCGCUUUGGCAAAUCGUUAUCUUUGCAGUGGUAUCUUUGCUCUAUAUAUUUACACAAAUGCACAGAAAGAUAUUAUAAAUUAAUUACACAGGAAAAUCUUACUCAUCUCUGUAGAAAAACAGGAUAGAGAUUUCACGUGUGGCUCAGCUCUAGGACGAUGUGAUACUAGUGUCUGUGCUGUUUUCAAGAUGCAAUUUAUCUAACACUGGGAAAGGGUAUGGUUUGGCUGACUAAACUCUGGAGUGAUGCUGAAUGAUAAAAGUGCUAAGGGGAAUUUUUGGGGCAACUAAAAGACAACGUAUAAGACUCUGUAGGUGUUAAAAAACCCAAAAAAACCUUUUUCUGGUGGUUGUAUAAAAAGCUUACUGACAUUUUAUGACACGGACUAACCUCCUCCCAUACCUUUAACCCCCUCUUGCCAAAACUAACUGCCUCAAAGCUGGGUGUAACCAUGCUCACACAGAGUUCUUAUUUUGACACUUUGGCUCAUUUCGCCCCUCUUUGUGAGAUUUGUUGUACCUUCAGUGUUCUAAACUGGAGUGUGCUUUAGUGUACAUGGGCAUGGACAGGGAGAAGGACAAGCAGACAAGUCCACUCUGCCAUGGGGUCUGUUGCAGGUGAGGGAUGGCUCUAUGGCUGCAGGAACAUGUUGAGCCAGGUGGCUUCUGGAAAAAGACCUGCCACAAGCUAAGAAAGCUGUAAUACUUAGAGGCAUGGUGUGGAAAUUAGGGUCAGUGGACUGGUGGGGAUGCUUGUGGGACAGUGUGCCCUGGGAUGGGUUUGUAUGAGCAGAAGCACAUUUGCAUGAUGAUAAUGGCUGGGUCUACGUUGUGUUAGAUUGUCUUCUCCAGAAUUUGCUCUUCCAGACAGGCUGGCUCCUUUCCACAGUGAAACUGAGGUAUGGUGACUUUGCUGUUAGUGCAGAGAUCUGAGGUAGCUCUCACACAUAGGGUUUCCAGAAGCCCCUGCCUCAUCUCAUCUGCAUCCUGGUGUCUCCGAGAAGACUUGGGGCUCCUGAACUUCCUCUUGGGCUGCCCAGCCUGGCUCUUUCAGGGUCCUGCACCCUGGGGAAGCUCUGGGCUGGGUUCAUCCCAGACAAUCCAUGGGCCAGUUGGUAGGGGGAAGGACAUGUCCAUGGAGGUAGAUUUGGAUCUUCAAGGGGCUGUUGAAAUUAUUCUUCAUAAGGACCUCUUGUUUUUGGUUCCAGAGGGAGCCUUAUGUGAGCAGGGUUUGCUGCUCUUACUUUCCCAAAGGCACCCGGGUGGAAAUGCCCACUUUGGCCCAAGCUGCCCUUUGCAGACAGAUGCACAGACAAAUGCUGGCCGAAGGUCUCAGUGCAGCUCCAUGAGAUGCCUCUGCUGCCCGACGUAUUUUAACCAGAAGAGCCACAAGCAAACUGUGCAGCGGCCUUAGACUCUGUAGACAAACCAAGGUGCUACAAGACCCUUCUGGCAACAAGGCUCCAAGAGCCUCUGUGCCCCACAACCACAGAAAACAGCUGGCAGUCAGAAGGAGGAGAGGAGGUCUGGGAUAUGCAGCCAUCCUGCUGAAGCUCGGGACAGCUAGGAGAGGUGGCAGUGCAGCAGAGUGUGGUCUCUGUGGUCAAGGAGCUCCAAGAGGCUCUGCAGUUAAUGCUGCCAGAGGACACGUGGAGACAGCAAAGGAAAGCACAGUGACAGCACUCUGAAGGCCUUGUGUCAUACAUGAGAGCAGAAGUGCCACCAAGAUGAGUUUUGGGCCUUGUCACACUUAGCAAAAAUGUAAAAACUGAUUUAGUAAAAUUCUUUUAUGUAGCUCUUUCUCAACAGUUUUUUUAAUCUUGCAAAAAAGCUCUAUAGAGGUAAACAUUCCCACUAUCUACUGCUAGAAUAAAGGCACUUAAAAUUUUUGUUUCCA